ACGCCAAACGCCAGGGUAUUACGAGCCUCAGCUUAAAACCCAAAGGACUUGACGGUACCCCACCCAACUAGAGGAGCCUGUUCUAUAAUCGAUGAUCCACGAUACACCCAACCAUCUCUUGCCUCAGCCUGUAUACCUCCGUCGUAAGCCUACCCUGUAAAUGCACGAUAGUAAGCCCAAAAGCCUAGCGCCCAAAUGUCAGGUCAAGGUGCAGCCCAUGAAAUGGAAGCAAUGGGCUACAAUUUCUAAUCUAGAACAAACAGAAUGCUAUAUGAAACAUAGCCAUAAAGAAGGAUUUAGUAGUAAAUAAGGAAUAGAGAGCCUUAUUAAACCUAGCUCUGGGGUG
This 346-nucleotide ribosomal RNA is filed under the name Pseudophilautus simba. RNAcentral's name for it is "partial 12S ribosomal RNA". It matches the Rfam family "Bacterial small subunit ribosomal RNA", at positions 862 to 1381 of the family's 1533-position model. The record is from RNAcentral. Lineage: Eukaryota; Metazoa; Chordata; Amphibia; Anura; Rhacophoridae.